Molecule: long non-coding RNA, 4051 nt
Organism: Hemicordylus capensis (graceful crag lizard)
Lineage: Eukaryota; Metazoa; Chordata; Lepidosauria; Squamata; Cordylidae
Exons: 3
Source: RefSeq, a predicted model, not a curated record
UCAAUUAAAAACUAUCAUGCAUGGUGGUGGCUCUGAGCUAGAGUGGUGUCCAGUGAUGUAGUCCAGGUGUCGCAGUACUCCAGAUGCAGAGAUGGGCAAAAUACAUCUAAAAGGAAUUUUAGAUACAAAAUACCUGAUAAGGAAAUGUGGGGUUUUUUUGGCAGACCAGGAACCUAACUUAUAGAUCCAGUUUCACCAAAUGUCCAAAUGUCAUUUUUGUGGAAACAAAAGCCAUGAAGCUUUUGUAACAGAAUACUUUGGUGCCAAAAACCUAAAAAGCACUGGAAAUCAAAUUAACCCCCUGUAAACCUUAUAUAGCAAGAAAUUGUACUUUCACUGAAAUACCACAUUUGGAUUUUUAAAACUCAACUUGUUCAUCCCAUUCCUUUCUGUAAAAGGAAUUUAUACUCAGAUACUAGAAGCAUUUUAUUUGCUUCAGUUGUGGAAUGUGUUCCCUGUGGAUAUAAGAGGAUUAGCUUCCUUGGAGGCCUUCAAGAGAGCCUUCAAGAGCCAUCUUUUUAACCUGGCUUUUAAUGAUAUCUAGUUUUAAUUUUAUUAAAAUCUGGUUUAAUUUUUUUUAAAAUUGUUUUAUUAUGUGUUUUUGAUAAUGUUAACCUCCCUGAACCACUUUAGGAAGGGUGGUCUCUAAUCUUCCUUGGCUGGGCAAGGUGAUUGAGCGAGUGAUUGCUUCUCAGCUCCAGGAAGUUUUGGGUGACACAGAUUAUUUAGAUCCUUUCCAGACUGGUUUUCGGGUGGGCUAUGAGGUUGAGACUGACUUGGUCGGCCUGAUGGAUGAUCUCCAAUUGGCGAUAAUUUCUUCUUUGAUGUCUCCAGGAAGAAAUGCAGUUUUCACGGCUGUGUGAUCCACUUGCAUUUUAUUUGCUGCUGCAGUGCUUAGGAGUGUCCUUACUGAGCUUCCUUCCAGUUGUGUGCUUCAGUUACAGGCUACUCCCAUCCAUCCAAUUCUGAGCAGCUGCAGAAGACACAGCUGGGCUGUAUGCAAUCCAAAUUGUACUUUCAAGAGGAAGGAACAGAAAGGUCAACUUAACCAUCACAGCUAAGCCACUGUUUCUCUUGAGUGGACCACCAGGCUCUGUAAUUGUUGUGCAAAGAAACAAAAUUCCUGCAGGUCAGCUAAGCUUUGUGAGCACAUGUAGUAGCAAAUGGAAGUCCAAUAACUUUCCCAUAAUAUCUUCUACAGAUUUAAAAUGUCAUGUGACAUUUUAAAAGUCUCAACAGAUUUACCAAUAUAUCUGUUUUUGUACAUUUAAGUAUUUCAAGCUUACAUAUCAGAUUGAGAUGUACCGAGGCCUGAUUUUUAUAUACACAUAUAUAAAAAUAUAUGUAUAUUCUAUCUAUCUAUCUAUCUAUCUAUCUAUCUAUCUAUCUAUCUAUCUAUCUAUCUACCUACCUACCUACCUACCUACCUACCUACCUACCUACCUACCUAUCUAUCUAUACACAUACACAUAUAAACUUGGAGAAGAAUGUACUCUUGGAAAACAUGCAGAUGAUAAGCAAAAUUAUGACAAAUCUAAAGCAGUUUGUGAAGCAAUACCAUAAGAUUUUCAGAACAAGUAGGGUAUGUAAAAAUAGCUGUAUUACAGAGUUGAUGCUCUCAAAUGAGCAUCAUUUCAGCAUCCUUUGCACUGGCUUCUUAUGCAAGAUGCUUGCUCUAGCCCAGUGGAAUUCUUGUUUGCUUUCAACACCUGACCGUUCUGCCGCAUUGUAAACUACUUUUGCAACAGUUCACCAUGCAGCAUUUAUGGGAGCUGCUUUCUCAGGCCUUCAGAACUUGUGACCAACUCACCACUCAUGUAUGGUGGUCCACUAGGGCCUUCCCCCUACAGCCAGCCCAUCCAUUAAGCAGACCUAGACAGUUACCUAGGGCACCAAUACUCGGGGGGCGCUGCAGUUCCCUGGGUGUAAGUUAAGUGGGCACGGCGCACCUCCUAGCUAGUCUCCUGUUUCCCUCCUCCUCUCCUCUCAGUGGGCACUGUCCCUGCCCUCUCCCUGCCUCGCUUUGCUCGAAUACUGCUGCAGCUGCUCAGGCAGGAGCUCCCAUCCCAGUUUCUCACGUGCCUGGACCCAAAACAGGAAGCAGUGUGUGUGGGGGGUUGGUUUGGCUGCAGUCGGGGCUGGUUGGUCACGAAGGAAAGCUCCUUGCAGCACCAUUAAAAGCUGCCUCUUAGCAGCCAGAGAGGUUGGUUGGCCCUGAGGUUGGCAAGGCCCGCACUGCUGAGGGAAAGGAGGCGGUGGCAAUAGAGGAAGGGCAGGCAUCAGGGAGACUGAGCGCCUCAACCCUUCUGCCUCUUCCACUGUAUCCCCAACUAACACGGGUUAGUCAUUUGCUGGACUUCCGAAUGGGCUGGUCAUUCAACCCAGUGAAUGAGCAGCCUACACAGCUCAGUUAAAGCUAGGACUCCAUGCUUCUCGGCUGGGGUGUGUGUGCCAAGGUUAUCUAUCUAUCUAUCUGAUUUGUACACCACCCCAAACUUUUGUCUCUGGGCGGUUAACAAUAACAUAAAAACAAAUUUAAAAACAUACACAAAAACUUAAAACAAUUUAGACAAUUUCAAAUCAAACUCAGAUUUAAACCUAAAAAUGUAAAAAAGCUGAAAAAGCUUGGGUGAGGAGGUGGGUUUUCAAAAGCUUUUAAAAAAUGGUCAGAGAUGGGAUCAUAUUUCUGUAGGGAAUGCAUUCCACAAUCUCGGGGCAGCAACCGAGAAGGCCCAUCCCUGUGUGGCUACCAGCUGAGCUAGCAGCAAUUGGAGACAGAGCUCUCCAGAUGACCUCAAUGGGAGGUGGGGCUCAUAAUGAAGAAGAUGUUCUCUUAAAUACCCAGGGCCUAAGCUGUUUAGGGCUUUAUAGGUUAUAACCAGCACUUUAUAUUUUGCCUGGAAACCUAUUGGCAGCCAGUGUAGUUCUAUUAGCAAAGGAGUAAAUGUGGUCUCUCUGAGAUGACCCAGAGACCAACCUGGCUGCCACAUUCUGUACCAACUGGAGUUUCCGGACUAUGUACAAAGGCAACCCCACAUAGAGUGCAUUGCAGAGGUCAAGUCUGGAGCAUAUGUACCAGCAUAUGUAGCACUGUUUUGAGGUCGUUCGUCUCAAGAAACGGACGCAGCUGGAUGCAGCUGGUUAAACUUUGCCUAGAGCACCAAAAGCUCUAGGGCUGGCUGUGCUCCCCCCACCCUCCGCCACUCACCGGAGAGGCCACACAGUACACCACUACGGUGAGCUGUACUUGAUCUGGAGAGUUCAAGUUGUGCAGACCCCACCUGCUCUCUCUUUGGCACUCACAAGUUAAAUGGGACUUGUCUGAGGGCAGAAUCCAGCAUGUGUUUGGUCAGGAAUUUUAUGUUAAAAACCAUCAGCAGUUUGGGGGCCCUAAAAAUCUCCAGCUUCCCAAGUGGAUGUAUUCAAGAGAGAGGGGACAGCUUGCUAAAGAUUCACCAGCCUCAUUCAAAAUAUCCCAUCUGGGACAUAUGCGAUGCCACUAAGUCAUGUUUAGUACUGCCAGGCUUAGGAGAGCCACAAAUACUGAAUGAAAUAGCCUUUGUGUGCAAACGCAAAGUAUUAAAUAAAUUAAAUCAAACACAUUUCCCAUGAUAAUGGUUACUAUCACUUCCCUGUGGUGGACCAAACAAAGUGAUAGAAUCCAGGUAAGCAGAUGUUUAGGAAAUGAUGUAAAAUGUUGGUUUUCAGACAGGUAUUUAAUGUUUUGUCUUUUUAAAAGGAGGCAUGAUUUAACCGAGCCGAGUUACUCUUUUCUGGUGAUUUAGUGGCUGACAUGCAGCACAGCCUUCUGAUGGCGGAAUAAGAGCUCUGUUCUCGCAAAGAGCCAGUAAAUUAGCUGCGUGUGAGGCUUGGCUUAGCUUGCAGUAUUAUUGCUCAGGAAGAGGGGGUUGAUGAUGUGAUUUCUGCAAAGUCUUUUUCUCUGGCAGUAAUUUCAGGAAAAGGGCUUUUGUGGACAGAGAUGAAAAGUGAAAAUAAUAGGCUUGUGCCCGAAACGUUUCGGGUGUCGGGGCAGAUUCGGCGAUUCGGCGAA